GUUGUAUGGUUAAGUGACUAAGCGUAGACGGUGGAUGCCUUGGCAGUCAGAGGCGAYGAAGGACGUAUUAACUUGCGAAAAGCCCAGAUAAGGCAGUAAAAGCCAUUUGAAUCUGGGAUAUCCGAAUGGGGAAACCCACCUGCAUAAGCAGGUAUCUUAGCGUGAAUACAUAGCGCUAAGAGGCGAACUCGGGGAACUGAAACAUCUAAGUACCCGAUCCGAAUGGGGAAACCCACCUGCAUAAGCAGGUAUCUUAGCGUGAAUACAUAGCGCUAAGAGGCGAACUCGGGGAACUGAAACAUCUAAGUACCCGAAGGAAAAGAAAUCAAUUGAGAUUCCGGCAGUAGCGGCGAGCGACCCCGGAUUAGCCCUUAAGCAGACUUGGCGUUAGGUGAACAGGUUGGAAAACCUGGCAAYAAAGGGUGAUAGCCCCGUAACCGACGGCGCCAUAUKUGUGAAAACGAGUAGGACGGGACACGUGAUAUCUUGUCUGAACAUGGGGGGACCAUCCUCCAAGGCUAAAUACUCCUGACUGACCGAUAGUGAACCAGUACCGUGAGGGAAAGGCGAAAAGAACCCCUGUGAGGGGAGUGAAAUAGAACCUGAAACCGUCUACGUACAAGCAGUGGGAGCCCCAUCACUAAGACACCUUAUCUUAGUGAGACGCUAUCACUUUGUUGAUUGGGUUAACCACGCGAAGCGUGGGUCAACCGCCCAAUCAAGCAGAGGUGACUUAGUGAUGGGGUGACCGCGUACCUUUUGUAUAAUGGGUCAGCGACUUAAUGUUAGUAGCAAGGUUAACCGCAUAGGGGAGCCGUAGGGAAACCGAGUCUUAACUGGGCGUGUAGUUGCUAGCAUUAGACCCGAAACCGAGUGAUCUAGCCAUGGGCAGGUUGAAGGUUGAGUAACAUCAACUGGAGGACCGAACUCACUAACGUUGAAAAGUUAGGAGAUGACCUGUGGCUAGGGGUGAAAGGCCAAUCAAACUCGGAGAUAGCUGGUUCUCCCCGAAAGCUAUUUAGGUAGCGCCUCGGACGAACACUACUGGGGGUAGAGCACUGUUAAGGCUAGGGGGUCAUCCCGACUUACCAACCCUUUGCAAACUCCGAAUACCAGUAAGUGCUAUCCGGGAGACACACGGCGGGUGCUAACGUCCGUCGUGGAGAGGGAAACAACCCAGACCGCCAGCUAAGGUCCCAAAGUUAUCGCUAAGUGGGAAACGAUGUGGGAAGGCUCAGACAGCCAGGAUGUUGGCUUAGAAGCAGCCAUCAUUUAAAGAAAGCGUAAUAGCUCACUGGUCGAGUCGGCCUGCGCGGAAGAUGUAACGGGGCUAAGCGAUACACCGAAGCUGCGGCAAUGCGAUUUAUCGUAUUGGGUAGGGGAGCGUUGUGUAAGCYGUUGAAGGUGUGCUGAGAGGCAUGCUGGAGGUAUCACAAGUGCGAAUGCUGACAUGAGUAACGAUAAUGGGGGUGAAAAACCUCCACGCCGGAAGACCAAGGGUUCCUGUCCAACGUUAAUCGGGGCAGGGUAAGUCGGCCCCUAAGGCGAGGCCGAAAGGCGUAGUCGAUGGGAAACGGGUUAAUAUUCCCGUACUGCURCUUACUGCGAUGGGGGGACGGAGAAGGCUAGGUGGGCCUGGCGAUGGUUGUCCAGGUUCAAGGGUGUAGGCUGUAAUCUUAGGCAAAUCCGGGAUUACACACGGUCGAGACCCGAUGUCGAGCCACCAAGGUGGUGAAGUCAUUGAUGCCAUGCUUCCGGGAAAAGCCUCUAAGCUUCAGGUAAGUAGGAACCGUACUCCAAACCGACACAGGUGGUCGGGUAGAGAAUACCAAGGCGCUUGAGAGAACUCGGGUGAAGGAACUAGGCAAAAUGGUACCGUAACUUCGGGAGAAGGUACGCUGCMCACGGUGAAGUCCCUUGCGGAUGGAGCUAUGGGCAGUCGCAGAUACCAGGUGGCUGCAACUGUUUAUUAAAAACACAGCACUGUGCAAAAUCGAAAGAUGACGUAUACGGUGUGACGCCUGCCCGGUGCCGGAAGGUUAAUUGAUGUGGUUAUCGCAAGAGAAGCCAUUGAUCGAAGCCCCGGUAAACGGCGGCCGUAACUAUAACGGUCCUAAGGUAGCGAAAUUCCUUGUCGGGUAAGUUCCGACCUGCACGAAUGGCGUAAUGAUGGCCACGCUGUCUCCACCCGAGACUCAGUGAAAUUGAAAUCGCAGUGAAGAUGCUGUGUACCCGCGGCUAGACGGAAAGACCCCGUGAACCUUUACUACAGCUUGGCACUGAACAUUGAGCCUACAUGUGUAGGAUAGGUGGGAGGCUUUGAAACGGCGACGCCAGUUGUCGUGGAGCCAUCCUUGAAAUACCACCCUUGUAUGUUUGAUGUUCUAACUUAGCCCCCUAAUCGGGGGUGAGGACAGUGCCUGGUGGGUAGUUUGACUGGGGCGGUCUCCUCCCAAAGCGUAACGGAGGAGCACGAAGGUGGGCUAAUCACGGUCGGACAUCGUGAGGUUAGUGCAAUGGCAUAAGCCCGCUUAACUGCGAGAGUGACGGCUCGAGCAGGUACGAAAGUAGGUCAUAGUGAUCCGGUGGUUCUGAAUGGAAGGGCCAUCGCUCAACGGAUAAAAGGUACUCCGGGGAUAACAGGCUGAUACCGCCCAAGAGUUCAUAUCGACGGCGGUGUUUGGCACCUCGAUGUCGGCUCAUCACAUCCUGGGGCUGAAGUCGGUCCCAAGGGUAUGGCUGUUCGCCAUUUAAAGUGGUACGCGAGCUGGGUUUAGAACGUCGUGAGACAGUUCGGUCCCUAUCUGCCGUGGGCGUUGGAUGAUUGAGGGGAGCUGCUCCUAGUACGAGAGGACCGGAGUGGACGAACCGCUGGUGUUCGGGUUGUGUCGCCAGACGCAUUGCCCGGUAGCUAAGUUCGGCACAGAUAAGCGCUGAAAGCAUCUAAGCGCGAAGCUGGCCCCGAGAUGAGUCAUCCCUAGAGCUUCGAGCUCUCUAAAGGGUUGUUU
Molecule: ribosomal RNA, 3008 nt
Filed under: Salinivibrio sp. MA351
Lineage: Bacteria; Pseudomonadati; Pseudomonadota; Gammaproteobacteria; Vibrionales; Vibrionaceae
Description: bacterial LSU rRNA
Rfam family: Bacterial large subunit ribosomal RNA
Source: RNAcentral